This 253-nucleotide unclassified non-coding RNA is filed under the name uncultured Chlamydiales bacterium. RNAcentral describes it as "contains 16S-23S intergenic spacer region". It matches the Rfam family "Bacterial small subunit ribosomal RNA", at positions 524 to 776 of the family's 1533-position model. Lineage: Bacteria; Pseudomonadati; Chlamydiota; Chlamydiia; Chlamydiales. The record is from RNAcentral.
UACGGAGGGUGCAAGCAUUAAUCGGAAUUAUUGGGCGUAAAGGGCGCGUAGGCGGAUUCGUAAGUCAGAUGUGAAAUUCCGAGGCUCAACUUCGGAGCUGCAUCCGAAACUACGAAUCUAGAGGAUAGACGGGGAAAACGGAAUUCCACAUGUAGCGGUGAAAUGCGUGGAUAUGUGGAAGAACACCGGUGGCGAAAGCGGUUUUCUAGUUUAUACCUGACGCUGAGGCGCGAGAGCGAGGGGAGCAAACAGG